Long non-coding RNA from Polyodon spathula (Mississippi paddlefish), 734 nucleotides. RefSeq lists it as uncharacterized. The record is from RefSeq and is a predicted model, not a curated record. The transcript is spliced from 2 exons. NCBI's taxonomy places the organism in Eukaryota, Metazoa, Chordata, Actinopteri, Acipenseriformes, Polyodontidae.
UGGGAAAACUGCAGCGAGAGAGAACUAGCAAGAACUGGGAAAACUGCAGAGAGAGAGAACUAGCAAGAACUGCCCCCUGCAUUUCUGAGCUCUUCAUUUCAAACGCAGAUUCACUUUGUGUUCCUUAUCUAGAUAGAACAGGGUUUUAUUUUGGCUUUAAUUGAUGAUAGUUUUAAUUAUAUUGAUUUAAAAUCAUUUGCAUUUUGCUUCAUAUUAAGCAGUUAAAAUUGACAAAUGCAUUUACCGGGGUAUUUUCACUUCAGAGUUUUAGAUACUGAGGGUUUCGGGGUGUCAGUCCUGUUCCUAUCACAUCUCAAGAUAAGGGAUGUGAUUCAUUCAAUAGGACACCCUUUAACUCAGUGUUCAGCUGAGGGACGUCAGUGUCACAGCAUUGCAUGUGUGUGAACGGAGUGCCGCGUUUGCUUUCCAGAGAAGCUGCCUGAAGAAGUCGCGGAGCAGGGUCUGGUGACGAAGAGUGUGGACUACGUUCGAGACGCCUUGAGCAGCCUCUCCUCCACAGCCAAGGAGACGGUCAGCAGCUUAGGGGACACUGAAGUGGUCAAGACUGCCAGGGAGUGGUUAAACUAUGGGAUAGAGUUCCUGAUUCCCUACUAUGAAACGCUGCAGGAAAAGGCCACAGAUGUUUUGGAAAAAUACAAACCCAAACCUGUAUAAACACACAUUGCUAUAUUUUUGUUAAACAUGUAAUUAAUAAAGGUAUAACUGGUUUAGGA